ACCCGCUGAACUUAAGCAUAUCAAUAAGCGGAGGAAAAGAAACCAACAGGGAUUGCCCUAGUAACGGCGAGUGAAGCGGCAAUAGCUCAAAUUUGAAAGCUGGCCUUCUGGUCCGCAUUGUAAUUUGUAGAGGAUGCUUUUAGGCAGCCGCCGGUCUAAGUUCCUUGGAACAGGACGUCAUAGAGGGUGAGAAUCCCGUAUGUGACCGGCUCUGGCACCUUCUGUAAAGCUCCUUCGACGAGUCGAGUUGUUUGGGAAUGCAGCUCUAAAUGGGAGGUAAAUUUCUUCUAAAGCUAAAUACUGGCGAGAGACCGAUAGCGCACAAGUAGAGUGAUCGAAAGAUGAAAAGCACUUUGGAAAGAGAGUUAAAAAGCACGUGAAAUUGUUGAAAGGGAAGCGCUUGCAAUCAGACUUGGCUUCGGUUGUUCAACAGGUCUUCUGACCUGCCUAUUCAAUCGUUGCCAGGCCAGCAUCAGUUUCGGCGGCCGGAUAAAGGCCCUGGGAAUGUGGCUGUUCCUUCGGGGACAGUGUUAUAGCCCAGGGUGUAAUACGGCCAGCUGGGACUGAGGUCCGCGCUUCGGCUGGGAUGCUGGCGUAAUGGUUGUAAGCGGCCCGUCUUGAAACACGG
This 628-nucleotide ribosomal RNA is filed under the name uncultured fungus. Its description in RNAcentral is "LSU rRNA". It matches the Rfam family "Eukaryotic large subunit ribosomal RNA", at positions 23 to 664 of the family's 3401-position model. The record is from RNAcentral. Lineage: Eukaryota; Fungi.